ACUUCUGUAGCUCAGUUGGUUACAGCGCUGCACCGGAAUCGCAGGACAGUAGGUUCAAUUCCUACCAGAGGAC
RNAcentral lists this transfer RNA (73 nucleotides) under Paramuricea clavata. It matches the Rfam family "tRNA". From Rfam's summary of the family: Transfer RNA (tRNA) molecules are approximately 80 nucleotides in length. Their secondary structure includes four short double-helical elements and three loops (D, anti-codon, and T loops). Further hydrogen bonds mediate the characteristic L-shaped molecular structure. tRNAs have two regions of fundamental functional importance: the anti-codon, which is responsible for specific mRNA codon recognition, and the 3' end, to which the tRNAs corresponding amino acid is attached (by aminoacyl-tRNA synthetases). tRNAs cope with the degeneracy of the genetic code in two manners: having more than one tRNA (with a specific anti-codon) for a particular amino acid; and 'wobble' base-pairing, i.e. permitting non-standard base-pairing at the 3rd anti-codon position. The record is from Rfam by way of RNAcentral. Lineage: Eukaryota; Metazoa; Cnidaria; Anthozoa; Malacalcyonacea; Plexauridae.